Molecule: ribosomal RNA, 473 nt
Filed under: Eudendrium rameum
Lineage: Eukaryota; Metazoa; Cnidaria; Hydrozoa; Anthoathecata; Eudendriidae
Description: partial 16S ribosomal RNA
Rfam family: Bacterial large subunit ribosomal RNA
Source: RNAcentral
GAAAUUAAAAGGACGCAGUAGCCUUGACUGUGAUAAUGUAGCAUAAUCACUUGCCAUUUAAUUAAUGGAUAGUAUGAAUGGUUUAACGAACACUACACUAUCUAAAAAAUAGAUCUCAUGAAAAUGAAAUAAUAGUAAAGAUGCUAUUUAUAAUUGUAAGACGAAAAGACCCUAUAGAGCUUAACUAUAAUCCUUCUAAAAAUAGAAAUAUAAAAUAUUAAUUAAAGGAGGAUUGGUAGUUUAGUUGGGGCGACUAUUUUCUAAAAAAAACGAAAAUAAACAAUAUUAAUAAUAUAAUUUAUUGUAUAAAUAACAUAUUUAACAAUUACUAAAGUAGGUUAUAAUGACCUGUUAUUUUCACAUAAAAGAAAUAACAAUUAAUGAAUAAAAGCUACCUUAGGGAUAACAGGAUAAUUUUAUUUUAGAGAUCCUAUCGAAGAUAAAGUUUGUCACCUCUAUGGUGAAUUAAGGAA